AUUGAACGCUGGCGGCAGGCCUAACACAUGCAAGUCGAGCGGAUGAAGGGAGCUUGCUCCUGGAUUCAGCGGCGGACGGGUGAGUAAUGCCUAGGAAUCUGCCUGGUAGUGGGGGAUAACGUCCGGAAACGGGCGCUAAUACCGCAUACGUCCUGAGGGAGAAAGUGGGGGAUCUUCGGACCUCACGCUAUCAGAUGAGCCUAGGUCGGAUUAGCUAGUUGGUGGGGUAAAGGCCUACCAAGGCGACGAUCCGUAACUGGUCUGAGAGGAUGAUCAGUCACACUGGAACUGAGACACGGUCCAGACUCCUACGAGAGGCAGGAGUGGGGAAUAUUGGACAGUGCGCGAAAGCCAGAUCCAGCCAUGCCGCGUGUGUGAAGAAGGUCUUCGGAUUGUAAAGCACUUUAAGUUGAGAGGAAGGGCAGUAAGUUAAUACCUUGCUGUUUUGACGUUACCAAAAGAAUAAGCACCGGCUAACUUCGU
This 483-nucleotide ribosomal RNA is filed under the name uncultured bacterium. Its description in RNAcentral is "partial 16S ribosomal RNA". It matches the Rfam family "Bacterial small subunit ribosomal RNA", at positions 30 to 506 of the family's 1533-position model. The record is from RNAcentral.